UUAGUCUUAACAAAGGGUCAAAAUGAGUCUAGGUAAUAUUGAAGAGACAACUACUAUUUGCAAAGGGGCAAUUAACUCCUGGAACACCGAAGAGGCAAAUAACUCUUGGAAAACUGAAGGGACAAAUGACUCUUGGAAAACUGAAGGGACAAAUAACUCUUGGAAACUGAAAGAACAAAUAACUCUUGGAAAACUGAAGGGACAAGUUACUAUUAAAACUUUAAAUCAAUGAUCCAUAUUGAUUUACUAUUAUAAUUUCAACCAACGGACUGAAAAAUUAGCACAUCUCCUCGUG
Molecule: long non-coding RNA, 295 nt
Filed under: Panax ginseng (ginseng)
Lineage: Eukaryota; Viridiplantae; Streptophyta; Magnoliopsida; Apiales; Araliaceae
Description: long non-coding RNA (PGIN_LNC018667)
Source: RNAcentral